RNAcentral lists this ribosomal RNA (158 nucleotides) under uncultured bacterium. RNAcentral's name for it is "partial 16S ribosomal RNA". It matches the Rfam family "Bacterial small subunit ribosomal RNA", at positions 334 to 484 of the family's 1533-position model. The record is from RNAcentral.
UACUCCUACGGGAGGCAGCAGUAGGGAAUCUUCCACAAUGGACGAAAGUCUGAUGGAGCAACGCCGCGUGAGUGAUGAAGGGUUUCGGCUCGUAAAACUCUGUUGUUGGAGAAGAACAGGUGUCAGAGUAACUGUUGACAUCUUGACGGUAUCCAACC